CCCAGCCCCCCAUCCCUGUCCUCUCUCCAGGUGAGGACCCCAGCCUUGAUCUGUGGGCCAGAUCAAGUGGCACCCAGCAUGUGGGCUUGACCUGGCAUGAAGGAUAAUGAUGCAGGACCAUUCAUUCACUGGAGUAAAGUGCUGGCCAGCGUGACUGAUUUAAGGGCUUUGUCCCUGUGAUCCAUGCGGAUGGCCACCUUACGUCUCGCGUGAAUCAUGAUGGUGCAACCUCUCAAAACCUUAUGGACCGUUGUUGGACUUUUGACACAACUACAUCUAAUGGAUAGCAACCCCCAUCAACCCUGGAAAUAGGAGCUUAGCCGCUGGAAUGACCAAGAGAUGGUUUGGACUUGGGUAGGAUCAGGAAGUCCAUGGUUUGUGCCCACAUCCUGUUGGUUCUUUCCGGGGCUCCAAUGUCCCAGACAAAGUCAAUUCUACCUUUAUCCAGCAGCAACAGGGGGCAGAUCAUAUUGGAAUUCCCCGGGAGAAUAUUUUUGUGCUCGUUGGGGCUGUGAAACAGUUGCAACAGGAUGGCAAACUGCCUUCCCAGAUAAACACCUUAAACUGACAUGGGGGCUGCUGGGGUGCAGCCUAGAUGACUACCCACCAGCAAAUCAAAGACCCUGUCAGGUUCUAAACAUCACUGUCACCACUCCGGAGGACCCUGGCUGGCUGACAGGAUGCACCUGGGGACUUUGAGUCUAUAAGUCAGGCAAAGAUAGGGGAAAUCUUAUUUUCAUAAAAAAGGUUUCCCUACAGGUUGCAUCCACGUCCAUAGGCCCAAAUCCUGUUCUAUAGCCAAAUUACAAUCCAAAUCCAAAAUACAAGCAGUGUAAUACAGAUCCUGGUACUGCUAUUCAAACAACCACAGAAGUCACCCAACCAUAAGCAUUUCUCUAGCCCCCCCACACCAGGCAGAUCAUAUACCUGACCCUCAAUAUUCACAUUCUAACCUAUUCAGUUUGAUUAAAGGGGCAUACACGGCUGUAAAUCAUACCCAACCUGAUUUCACCCAAUCCUGUUGGCUAUUCUUGGUGACACUCACCUUAGCUGUAUUACUAGGGUUAGGAGUCGCAAUGGGAAUAGGAACAGGGACUACAGCUCUAGUGUUGGGAAAUCAGCAUCUAGCUCAAUUACAGACAGCAGUAGAUCAAGAUUUAAAAGAAAUAGAAACAUCUGUAGUGGCUUUACAAGCAUCUCUGAUGUCUUUAUCUUAGGUAGUCCUACAAAAUAGAAGAGGACUAGACCUCCUAUUUAUGAAGGAGGGUGGCUUAUGUGCUGCUCUCAAAGAAGAAUGCUGUUUUUAUGCCGACCACUCAGGAGUCAUCAGAGAGUCCAUGACUUAACUAAGAGAGCGCCUCAAAGAGAGAGAAAAGGAACGCCUCAGAGAAAUGACCUUCUCUUCCAUGUGGGGGGGGGGUCUCUUCCCUUACAUUGCCCCCCUCUUGGGGCCCCUGGCUGCUUUAUUGCUACUCCUUACUGUAGGCCCUUGUAUUUUCCAGAGGAUUGUGACACUCCUUAAUAACAGGAUUGACACGUUUAUGGCAAAGCCCAUUCAGGUACAUUACCAUCAAUUGGAGAUAGUAGAACAACAAACUUAUCAGGAAAGAACAUCCACUGAUGGUCCACAUAAUGAUGUGGCCCCAAUGCGCUGAGGUACUGGACAGGCAGCCAGAGACCGGCAACUAGGACACAUAUGUUAUGCCAUCGAACACCUAAGACAGGCACAGGACCAACUGCUAUCCUGCAGGCCCAUGACAGAUAAGGCUCAAUUUGGUACAUAUGAAGAGUCCUUGACCCAAGAUAGGCACUGUUCUCACAGGGCCUGCCAUACUCCUAAAAAAUAUAAUAAAAAGGGAGGAGAUGUAGGGAGCAGGAUAUCUCACUGCUGCCACCUUAUCUCGCCCCCCUGUGGGCCUCUGCUGUGUCUGCCUACAUUUCCCAUGAUCCUCAUGUCUGCCUACAUUGCCCAUAAUCCUCUCCUGCUUACAUCAUAUAUCCAGAUGUGACAAUGACCUAUCAGGUAACACUCUGUGCCCUCUUCCUGCCCCAUUGGCCCGCCUCCACCCUAUAUAAGUUGUAGCCAUUUUAAGAAUAAAUAAGCCUUGAAUGGAA
Molecule: long non-coding RNA, 2115 nt
Organism: Cavia porcellus (domestic guinea pig)
Lineage: Eukaryota; Metazoa; Chordata; Mammalia; Rodentia; Caviidae
Exons: 2
Source: RefSeq, a predicted model, not a curated record